RNAcentral lists this long non-coding RNA (2329 nucleotides) under Nicotiana tabacum (common tobacco). Its description in RNAcentral is "long non-coding RNA (NTAB_LNC015746)". Lineage: Eukaryota; Viridiplantae; Streptophyta; Magnoliopsida; Solanales; Solanaceae. The record is from RNAcentral.
GCUUAUCUGUCACAUCCCAAACUACCCCCUAGACGUGACUGGUACCCAGCUAACACUACCUGCCAGGCGAACCUCUUUCUCUAACGUUUAACCAUUUACACAAACACUGAGAAAAAAGUACAGGCCUAAAGUAUUAUUAAUAAUUAAAGAGAUAAUGAUUAUCACUCAAUACUUUAGUCAAUUGAUAGAAAAACCAACAAUCACUCAAAUAAUAAAACUCUAGCUCAAAUCCCACACUAAGACCAUGGAGCAUCUAACAGAGUAAUAUGUGUUUUAUUGACGGGUAUGCAAACCGACAAAAAAAGAAGAAGUAACUAACACGAACUAAGCAAGUCUGAAACGAAAGCCUCCACGAACAAUGUGGUGGCUCACCUCAGCAAUAAGAUCCACUCGAACAAACUCGUCGGCCACUAGCCCUAUCUCCCGCAACGGUAUCUGCAUAGAGAUGCAGGUAAGGAGUGAGUUAUACGUAAAUAUAACCCAGUAAGAUCCUCGACUCGCCACUUUAAAUACCUCUGGAACAAGUGUUAGAAAAUACAAACACACUACAACCCGAAUGAUAUAGUAAAUAUGAUAAUUAUAUAAUAACUUAAUAUAUGUGUAUCAACAGAAUUAUUAAGAAUUAACCAACAAGGAUACCCACUAAGGACUUAUCAUAAUUGCAGUGAAAGAAAUUUACCAACACACCAGGAGUCCACGACAACACCACAAUGCCUCAAAUAUGUAAUAGAGCAUACACAAUGCUCGGGUGAUGUACAAAGGCAUACACAAUGCCCCAACAUCAUGGCGCACAGCCGUAUCAAACUCAACAUCAUGGCGCACACCCGUAUCAAACUCAACAUCAUGGAGCACAACCCUAUCAAACUCAAUAUCAUGGCGCACAGCCGUUUAAACUCAACAUCAUGGCGCACAGUCGUAUCAAACUCAACAUCAUGGCGCACAGUCAUCUCAACAUCAUGGCGCACAGCCGUAUCAAACUCAACAUCAUGGCGCACAGCUGUAUCAAACUCAACAUCAUAGCGCACAACUGUAUCAAACUCAAUAUCAUGGAGCACAACCGUAUUAAACUCAACAUCAUGGCGCACAGCCGUAUCAAACUAAAUAUCAUGGCGCACAACCAUAUCAAACUCAACAUCAUGGCACACAGCGUAUCAAACUCGAUGUUAUGGCGCACAGCCGUAUCAAACUAUAAAACUCAACCUCAUGGCGCACAGCCGUAUAACACUAUCAAACAACUUAUAAAAUAAUUUUUUAUUUCUUUCAUAAAAUAAUAUGUUUGCGGCUAGUCUAAGACCAUCGACUCUACCAAGCGCACGCUUGUCCCAACACAUGGACCAGGCAGAGAAAACACACUUCCAAAAUGGGUCUUAGAAAAGUAAGUAUCAAAGCUUAAAGUCUCACUUACCUCGCUAACGAGAAGUUCUCCAACCUUGCAAUGUCUAAGACACCAACCAAACGGCCUCCAAUGGCCUCAAUCUAUCCAAAAUAUUGAAUAAUAUGUCCUAAAUAGUCUAGAUGAAUAAUUUUUCAUAAUCUUACGACAGAGUCAAAAUCAAAGCCAACCCCCAAUCCAACUAAUAAAUAAUUGUACACAAACAUAUGCUGACAGUAGUAUUUCGAAAGUGCCGAAACCGUAGUAGCUUCAGAAAACUAUACCAUAACUUAUACUACCAUAUGAUUUUUUCACUUUCUCAUUACCCUCAUCAUUACAUCAUGAUUGAAAGUUAUACUCUAUGUACUAAAUGAUAAAAAAGUCCACAACUGUAGCUUUUUUAAAUAUGUUCAAUUUCACAAGCAGUACAUUUUUUUUAUAGUUUCCAUAUCUCACAUCUAUCCUUUACAAGCUAAUAACCAUUACAUCAUUAUUAUUAUUUUCCAACAACAUCAUACGGUCAUCAUUACACAUCUUUCUCUCAAAAAUACAUAUGUUUCUAGUUGUGUCCAUAUUUUAACUUUGCCGCUGUGAUUUCACAAUUUACAGAAUAUCUAAGCACAUGCUAUGUCGAAAUCUAGUCAUUUACUCUAUGAUAUUGGACGAAUCUCGAAAUACCUGAAGCUCACACGAUGAUAGUUUUUAUCGCCGCCGCCAACGAAUCCUCAGAAGAUCAGCUUGCUUCUCUUUUUCUUUUUUUUCAUCAAGAGCAAGGAACUAAUUACCCAAAUUUUCUACUCUUUAGGUCACUAAAAAUGUGGCAGCCAUAAGAUAAUGGGCUUAGCCCACUCCGAUUUAUUUAAUAAAUAACCAAAGUCAACUAUAUAAGUGUAGUUUAAAAUUUUUAACCACUAACCACUUAUUUAGUAUCAUAUCUCAUAUAGGAACAAAAUUUCC